CCGACGGUGAGGGGCGAAAGCUGGGGAGCAAACCGGAUUAGAUACCCGGGUAGUCCCAGCCGUAAACGAUGCUCGCUAGGUGUCUGGGAUGGUGCGACCGUUUCAGGUGCCGCAGGGAAGCCGUGAAGCGAGCCACCUGGGAAGUACGGCCGCAAGGCUGAAACUUAAAGGAAUUGGCGGGGGAGCACUACAACGGGUGGAGCCUGCGGUUUAAUUGGACUCAACGCCGGAAAACUCACCUGGGGCG
Molecule: ribosomal RNA, 247 nt
Filed under: uncultured archaeon
Lineage: Archaea
Description: partial 16S ribosomal RNA
Rfam family: Archaeal small subunit ribosomal RNA
Source: RNAcentral